Long non-coding RNA from Colius striatus (speckled mousebird), 682 nucleotides. RefSeq lists it as uncharacterized. The transcript is spliced from 3 exons. Lineage: Eukaryota; Metazoa; Chordata; Aves; Coliiformes; Coliidae. The record is from RefSeq and is a predicted model, not a curated record.
ACUGAAGUCUCCGGCUGCCGCAGGCUGCGCGGGCAGCUCCCGCCGCCUCCCCCGCGCCAGCCUCGCUGGGCAGCCGCCCCUCCCGCGGGCCUGCGCGGCCCGACCCCGCGCCACCUGGCCCGAAGGGGGACUGUGCCGUACGGCACGGCACGGUGCAGGGGGCGGCCGGGCCGAGGGGCGCAGGGAGCGGCCGGGCGCCCCGCGGGCGAGGCCGGUACAGCGGGCAGCAGGGUGGCCCCGCCGCCGCCUCAGGCCCCGCUGGUGGGCACAGUUCCCACCACCCCCGCUCCGAGCCGGGCGGCCCCGCCGCGGCGCAGGUCCUUUGUAAAUAUCGGAGAGAUGCUCUGUGAAGAGAACUAGUUUCAAAAUACACAAGGUUCAGAAGAGAGUCCUGCUCUUUUUGUCCCUUCUUCACAGAAGAAAUGUCUCAGAAAUUGAGUCCAAGUUUAGAAAGAACAUAUACAUGCCAAUCUUAAUUGCAUUUUCUGUGUUAUCUUCGACUGGAUUUGAAAGUCCUGACCAGAGGAUUGCAAUAAUGAAAACAACAUCUAGGCUGCAGCUGAGAGAACAAGAGGUACAGCUGAACUCUGAGCAUCUUACCAUGUCCAGAUGAUAAAGAGGUGGUUUUCUUGAGCCAGAGCUAAACGACCUAUUCAUAAUAAAUAUUUUUCAAUUAAUUUAA